GGGUGUCGAGCUCAGUGGUAGAGUCCAUGCUUAGCAUGCACGAGGUCCUGGGUUCAAUCCCCAGUACCUCCA
Molecule: transfer RNA, 72 nt
Filed under: Camelus bactrianus (Bactrian camel)
Lineage: Eukaryota; Metazoa; Chordata; Mammalia; Artiodactyla; Camelidae
Also listed under: 3 other names
Rfam family: tRNA
About the family: Transfer RNA (tRNA) molecules are approximately 80 nucleotides in length.
Source: Rfam by way of RNAcentral